AGGUAAGCUACUAAGAGCGAAUGGUGGAUGCCUUGACUGGUAAAGGCGAUGAAGGACGUACUAGACUGCGAUAAGCUACGGGGAGCUGUCAAGAAGCUUUGAUCCGUAGAUUUCCGAAUGGGGCAACCCAAUGUAUAGAGAUAUACAUUACCUAUAUAGGAGCGAACGAGGGGAAUUGAAACAUCUUAGUACCCUCAGGAAAAGAAAUCAAUAGAGAUUGCGUCAGUAGCGGCGAGCGAAAGCGCAAGAGGGCAAACCCAGUGCUUGCACUGGGGGUUGUAGGACUGCAAUGUGCAAGAGGUAAGUUUAGCAGAACAUUCUGGAAAGUAUAACCAUAGAGGGUGAUAGUCCCGUAUGCGAAAAACAAACCUUAGCUAGCAGUAUCCUGAGUAGGGCGGGACACGAGGAAUCCUGUCUGAAUCCGGGUCGACCACGAUCCAACCCUAAAUACUAAUACCAGAUCGAUAGUGCACAAGUACCGUGAGGGAAAGGUGAAAAGAACUGAGGUGAUCAGAGUGAAAUAGAACCUGAAACCAUUUGCUUACAAUCAUUCAGAGCCCUAUGUAGCAAUACAGGGUGAUGGACUGCCUUUUGCAUAAUGAGCCUGCGAGUUGUGGUGUCUGGCAAGGUUAAGCAAACGCGAAGCCGUAGCGAAAGCGAGUCUGAAUAGGGCGCUUAGUCAGAUGCUGCAGACCCGAAACGAAGUGAUCUAUCCAUGAGCAAGUUGAAGCUAGUGUAAGAACUAGUGGAGGACUGAACCCAUAGGCGUUGAAAAGCCCCGGGAUGACUUGUGGAUAGGGGUGAAAGGCCAAUCAAACUUCGUGAUAGCUGGUUCUCUCCGAAAUAUAUUUAGGUAUAGCGUUGUGUCGUAAUAUAAGGGGGUAGAGCACUGAAUGGGCUAGGGCAUACACCAAUGUACCAAACCCUAUCAAACUCCGAAUACCUUAUAUGUAAUCACAGCAGUCAGGCGGCGAGUGAUAAAAUCCGUCGUCAAGAGGGAAACAACCCAGACUACCAGCUAAGGUCCCUAAAUCUUACUUAAGUGGAAAACGAUGUGAAGUUACUUAAACAACCAGGAGGUUGGCUUAGAAGCAGCCAUCCUUUAAAGAAAGCGUAAUAGCUCACUGGUCUAGUGAUUUUGCGCGGAAAAUAUAACGGGGCUAAAGUAAGUACCGAAGCUGUAGACUUAGUUUACUAAGUGGUAGGAGAGCGUUCUAUUUGCGUCGAAGGUAUACCGGUAAGGAGUGCUGGAGCGAAUAGAAGUGAGCAUGCAGGCAUGAGUAGCGAUAAUUAAUGUGAGAAUCAUUAACGCCGUAAACCCAAGGUUUCCUACGCGAUGCUCGUCAUCGUAGGGUUAGUCGGGUCCUAAGUCGAGUCCGAAAGGGGUAGACGAUGGCAAAUUGGUUAAUAUUCCAAUACCAACAUUAGUGUGCGAUGGAAGGACGCUUAGGGCUAAGGGGGCUAGCGGAUGGAAGUGCUAGUCUAAGGUCGUAGGAGGUUAUACAGGCAAAUCCGUAUAACAAUACUCCGAGAACUGAAAGGCUUUUUGAAGUCUUCGGAUGGAUAGAAGAACCCCUGAUGCCGUCGAGCCAAGAAAAGUUUCUAAGUUUAGCUAAUGUUGCCCGUACCGUAAACCGACACAGGUGGGUGGGAUGAGUAUUCUAAGGCGCGUGGAAGAACUCUCUUUAAGGAACUCUGCAAAAUAGCACCGUA
This 1713-nucleotide ribosomal RNA is filed under the name Campylobacter coli. RNAcentral describes it as "partial 23S ribosomal RNA". It matches the Rfam family "Bacterial large subunit ribosomal RNA", at positions 1 to 1732 of the family's 2925-position model. Lineage: Bacteria; Pseudomonadati; Campylobacterota; Epsilonproteobacteria; Campylobacterales; Campylobacteraceae. The record is from RNAcentral. RNAcentral also lists the same sequence under 1 other name.